CGGUUCCAGGAGGAAACCUCGCAGUCCUGGGCUGCGAACUGGCCCUUCUGUGCAGAAGGCGAGGCUGAAUGCACCGCGGAAGAUGCCCAGUUUGCUCAGAACCUCUCUGAGCUCCCUCCUCCUCCCUGCCACCCCCGUCUGGGCUUCUCCAGAGAUGGGGUUUCAAUAAGACUAACGCUACUAUUUAAAGCUGUCUGACUUAAAAACAAUCUAACAGGUGAUGAGGAGCCUUGUGCGUAGGCUGGAAUGAGCCCUCAGCUUUACCCAAUGAAACAAAAGACAAAGAACCUGACAAGGAACCCAAAGCAGAUUGGAAUUUCAAGACUGGAUUUUAUAUCAUGUCUUCUCCUUGCCUUCUGUCACCACCAGACCUCAUCACAUAUAGACUCAGCAAAUCUGUUGCUCUCUGGAAUAUGGGCAAAUAUAAGAUGAUGACCCCAUGUAGGAUGGUCUUUCACUUCUUAAUAGUUAGGUCAACUUAAUUAUGAAAAUAAAUAUAGAUGGCCACAUG
This is a long non-coding RNA of Myotis myotis, 511 nucleotides long. RefSeq lists it as uncharacterized. The transcript is spliced from 2 exons. The record is from RefSeq and is a predicted model, not a curated record. NCBI's taxonomy places the organism in Eukaryota, Metazoa, Chordata, Mammalia, Chiroptera, Vespertilionidae.